UUAUCCAGGUCACUCUCUUGGUUUAUUAUUUGUAUUUCUCUUUUGAUUUUUAAAAGAUCAACUGGUUUCUUUUGUAUGUCCAGUGAGACAUCCUUUUCCAUGUCAUUCUCAUAGCCUGUCAUUUGUAGAUCCACUUUCGAUGCCAUCUCUGUCCUGUCAAAUAAAACUUGUUUCUCAUCUGCCAUUUCUUCCAUAACAUCUUUUGGACACAGUCUAGCCAUAGAAGCAAACAUCACUGUUGACACUGUUGAUACUAACUUCUGAUUCCAUUUUUCAAAAGUGUCCUUCAGUAUUUUCAAUGUUAUGCUUGAAUAUUUUUCUUCUUUAGCUAAAAUCUUUAGUUCCCUCUAGCAUCCAAUUUUUAAAAUUACAUAUCUUUAUUCUGCCUUGCAAAAGUCCAAACAAAUAU
This is a long non-coding RNA of Candoia aspera, 409 nucleotides long. RefSeq lists it as uncharacterized. The record is from RefSeq and is a predicted model, not a curated record. Lineage: Eukaryota; Metazoa; Chordata; Lepidosauria; Squamata; Candoiidae. The transcript is spliced from 2 exons.